RNAcentral lists this ribosomal RNA (706 nucleotides) under Peribacillus simplex. RNAcentral's name for it is "bacterial SSU rRNA". It matches the Rfam family "Bacterial small subunit ribosomal RNA", at positions 74 to 763 of the family's 1533-position model. The record is from RNAcentral. Lineage: Bacteria; Bacillati; Bacillota; Bacilli; Caryophanales; Bacillaceae.
GGGAGCUUGCUCCCUGAGAUUAGCGGCGGACGGGUGAGUAACACGUGGGCAACCUGCCUAUAAGACUGGGAUAACUUCGGGAAACCGGAGCUAAUACCGGAUACGUUCUUUUCUCGCAUGAGAGAAGAUGGAAAGACGGUUUUGCUGUCACUUAUAGAUGGGCCCGCGGCGCAUUAGCUAGUUGGUGAGGUAAUGGCUCACCAAGGCGACGAUGCGUAGCCGACCUGAGAGGGUGAUCGGCCACACUGGGACUGAGACACGGCCCAGACUCCUACGGGAGGCAGCAGUAGGGAAUCUUCCGCAAUGGACGAAAGUCUGACGGAGCAACGCCCCGUGAACGAAAAAGGCCUUCGGGUCGUAAAGUUCUGUUGUUAGGGAAGAACAAGUACCAGAGUAACUGCUGGUACCUUGACGGUACCUAACCAGAAAGCCACGGCUAACUACGUGCCAGCAGCCGCGGUAAUACGUAGGUGGCAAGCGUUGUCCGGAAUUAUUGGGCGUAAAGCGCGCGCAGGUGGUUCUUUAAGUCUGAUGUGAAAGCCCACGGCUCAACCGUGGAGGGUCAUUGGAAACUGGGGAACUUGAGUGCAGAAGAGGAAAGUGGAAUUUCCAAGUGUAGCGGUGAAAUGCGUAGAGAUUUGGAGGAACACCCAGUGGCGAAAGCGACUUUCUGGGUCUGUAACUGACACUGAGGCGCGAAAGCGUG